AGAGUUUGAUCCUGGCUCAGAACGAACGCUGGCGGCAGGCUUAACACAUGCAAGUCGAACGAGAACCUGGGGCUUGCUCCAGGGGACAGUGGCAGACGGGUGAGUAACGCGUGGGAAGCUACCUAGUGGUACGGGAUAACGUUUGGAAACGAACGCUAAUACCGAAUACGCCCUUCGGGGGAAAGAUUUAUCGCCAUUAGAUGUGCCCGCGUUAGAUUAGCUUGUUGGUGAGGUAAAAGCUCACCAAGGCUCCGAUCUAUAGCUGGUCUGAGAGGAUGAUCAGCCACACUGGGACUGAGACACGGCCCAGACUCCUACGGGAGGCAGCAGUGGGGAAUAUUGCACAAUGGGGGCAACCCUGAUCCAGCAAUGCCGCGUGUGUGAAGAAGGCCUGCGGGUUGUAAAGCACUUUCAGUAGAGAAGAAAAGCCCACGGCUAAUACCCGUGAGUCUUGACGUUACCUACAGAAGAAGCUCCGGCUAACUCCGUGCCAGCAGCCGCGGUAAUACGGAGGGAGCGAGCGUUAAUCGGAAUUACUGGGCGUAAAGCGCGCGUAAGCGGCUUUGUAAGUCGGAUGUGAAAGCCCUGGGCUCCACCUGGGAAUGGCAUUCGAUACUGCAGAGCUAGAGUAUGGUAGAGGGAAGUGGAAUUUCCCGUGUAGCCGUGAAAUGCGUAAAUAUCGGAAAGGAACACCAGGGG
This 699-nucleotide ribosomal RNA is filed under the name uncultured bacterium. Its description in RNAcentral is "bacterial SSU rRNA". It matches the Rfam family "Bacterial small subunit ribosomal RNA", at positions 8 to 715 of the family's 1533-position model. The record is from RNAcentral.